RNAcentral lists this ribosomal RNA (683 nucleotides) under uncultured bacterium. Its description in RNAcentral is "bacterial SSU rRNA". It matches the Rfam family "Bacterial small subunit ribosomal RNA", at positions 102 to 783 of the family's 1533-position model. The record is from RNAcentral.
ACGGGUGCGUAACGCGUAUGCAACUUGCCUCACAGAGGGGGAUAACCCGUCGAAAGACGGACUAAUACCGCGUACACUUAUCGGAGGGCAUCCUUCGGUAAGGAAAAGAAAUUCGCUGUGAGAUAGGCAUGCGUCCCAUUAGCUAGUUGGUGAGGUAACGGCUCACCAAGGCGACGAUGGGUAGGGGAACUGAGAGGUUGAACCCCCACACUGGUACUGAGACACGGACCAGACUCCUACGGGAGGCAGCAGUGAGGAAUAUUGGUCAGUGGGCGAGAGCCUGAACCAGCCAAGUCGCGUGAAGGAUGACUGUCUUAUGGAUUGUAAACUUCUUUUGUAGGGGAAUAAAGAGGGGCACGUGUGCCUCAGUGAAUGUACCCUACGAAUAAGCAUCGGCUAACUCCGUGCCAGCAGCCGCGGUAAUACGGAGGAUGCGAGCGUUAUCCGGAUUUAUUGGGUUUAAAGGGUGCGUAGGCGGCCUGUUAAGUCAGCGGUGAAAUCUAGGAGCUUAACUCCUAAAUUGCCAUUGAUACUGGCGGGCUUGAGUGUAGAUGAGGUAGGCGGAAUGCGUGGUGUAGCGGUGGAAUGCAUAGAUAUCACGCAGAACUCCGAUUGCGAAGGCAGCUUACUAAGGUACAACUGACGCUGAAGCACGAAAGCGUGGGUAUCAAACAGGAUUAGAU